UUUUCAUUAAAACUGACCAUGAGAUUAUUAAAUAUUUGCUUGAGCAAAGGCUACACACUAAUUUGCAGCAGAGGGGAAUUUCCAUGCUCAUGGGUCUUGAUUACAAAAUUAUUUAUAGAAAGGGUGUGGAAAAUAAAGCUGCUGAUGCCCUGUCUAGGAGACCUGAUAUGAAUGGCAAAUCUGCUACUCUUUCCUGUUGUCCACUUCAAUCUG
This 213-nucleotide unclassified non-coding RNA is filed under the name Hevea brasiliensis (rubber tree). Lineage: Eukaryota; Viridiplantae; Streptophyta; Magnoliopsida; Malpighiales; Euphorbiaceae. The record is from RNAcentral.